AGAGUUUGAUUUUGGCUCAGGACGAACGCUGGCGGCGUGCCUAAUACAUGCAAGUCCAGCGAGCUUGCCUAGAUGAUUUUAGUGCUUGCACUAAAUGAAACUGGAUACAAGCGAGCGGCGGACGGGUGAGUAACACGUGGGUAACCUGCCCAAGAGACUGGGAUAACACCUGGGAAACAGAUGCUGAUACCGGAUAACAACACUAGACGCAUGUCUAGAGUUUGAAAGAUGGUUCUGCUAUCACUCUUGGAUGGACCUGCGGUGCAUUAGCUAGUUGGUAAGGUAACGGCUUACCAAGGCAAUGAUGCAUAGCCGAGUUGAGAGACUGAUCGGCCACAUUGGGACUGAGACACGGCCCAAACUCCUACGGGAGGCAGCAGUAGGGAAUCUUCCACAAUGGACGAAAGUCUGAUGGAGCAACGCCGCGUGAGUGAAGAAGGGUUUCGGCUCGUAAAGCUCUGUUGGUAGUGAAGAAAGAUAGAGGUAGUAACUGGCCUUUAUUUGACGGUAAUUACUUAGAAAGUCACGGCUAACUACGUGCCACCAGCCGCGGUAAUACGUAGGUGGCAAGCGUUGUCCGGAUUUAUUGGGCGUAAAGCGAGUGCAGGCGGUUCAAUAAGUCUGAUGUGAAAGCCUUCGGCUCAACCGGAGAAUUGCAUCAGAAACUGUUGAACUUGAGUGCAGAAGAGGAGAGUGGAACUCCAUGUGUAGCGGUGGAAUGCGUAGAUAUAUGGAAGAACACCAGUGGCGAAGGCGGCUCUCUGGUCUGCAACUGACGCUGAGGCUCGAAAGCAUGGGUAGCGAACAGGAUUAGAUACCCUGGUAGUCCAUGCCGU
This 836-nucleotide ribosomal RNA is filed under the name uncultured bacterium. RNAcentral's name for it is "bacterial SSU rRNA". It matches the Rfam family "Bacterial small subunit ribosomal RNA", at positions 8 to 803 of the family's 1533-position model. The record is from RNAcentral.